UGACCUGAACCCUGAAAAGUAACCGCCUA
Molecule: non-coding RNA, 29 nt
Filed under: Mus musculus (house mouse)
Lineage: Eukaryota; Metazoa; Chordata; Mammalia; Rodentia; Muridae
Source: RNAcentral